CAAUCUGCAAUAACCUAAAACGCAGUUGCAGGGGAGAGUUUAGACCUAGACAGAGCUUUCUGGUCGUUGUCGUUCCAUUUCACAAUCAAACGAAAGAAAGUUUUUUUUUUCUUUUCAAAUGCUUCAUUCAACACUCACAACUCAAUAGCGACGCGGCCAGUUGUUUGAGUUUCUUUUGCAACCUACUGAAAUAAUGAAGAGAGGAAAAUGUCAUAAACUUAACCGUAUUGAAGACAGACUCAGUGAUUUACCCGAUUGCAUUCUACUUCACAUUAUGUCUUUUUUGAACACCAAACGUGCCGUUCAAACUUCCAUACUUUCCACAAGAUGGAGGAAUGUCUGGAAGUAUCUUCCCAAACUUACAUUAAACCUUACAUUAGCUUCUUCACAUUUUAAUAUUGUCUCUCGAAUUUUCUCACUUCGGGAUGACUCAACUGCACUGGACACUCUUAAUUUUAGUCCUUGUGGUUUGGUGGAGCCUCGCCUACUCGAAAGGGUUAUAGAAUACAUUGUUUCACAUAAUAUCAAGCAAUUACGAAUGGAUGUUAUAUGUGAUAUUGAACAUUUUAAGCCUUGCUUAUUUUCAUGUCAAACUUUAACAUAUCUUAACCUUAUAGUUAUUCGCCCUCACCUUCAUGCUCUGACAUUAUUUCCAAAUUCUCUAACUUUGCCAGCAUUAACCACGUUGUCUCUACAAUACUUUGCCUUUUCUGUUGGCAAUGAUGGUCGAGUCGAACCUUUUUCAGCAUUAAACAAGUUGAAUAGUUUGAUCAUUAAUAGAUGUAAAGUAUUGGAUGCACAAAACCUCUGCAUAUCUAAUACCACACUUGUCCAUUUAAAGAUUAUUGCGCCUGAUAGUCCUCCCAAGGCCUCUUGCAAAAUUGAGUUAUCCACUCCAAGUCUUUCUAACUUUUAUUUUAGGGGCACUCCUAUUCAGAAACUCUGUGGGAGCAAUGGCAAUCUCUCUUCUAUCAAACAUGUAACUAUUUAUGUUGUGUCAACUUCUGCGAAAACUCCUUUGGUUCUACUCAAUUGGCUGGUUGAACUUGCUAAUAUUGAAUCAUUAACGGUCUCUCCAGGAACUCUUAAGGUUCUCUCAUUUGUUCCUGAUUUGUUGGAGAUUGAAUUCCCUUCUUUGUGUCAUUUGAAGUCACUGAAUGUAAAGUCGGAUCUACCUUUGUGUUUCAUACCGGAGUUCCCUUCCUUAGUCGAUUUUUUGCGCCAAAACUCACCUUCAGUAAAGAUUAACGGCAUAUAAUGAUUAAGGCCAAUGAAGAUUGAUAUCAAGAGGAGGAUUGACUGCAUAACAUCUAGUUGGUUACAGGAUUGUAAUAUGUUUCAUUUGAUACGUUGAAACCAAAGCCAAGAGCUAGCACAUGAAAACAGAAGUUAUGGAUGUUUGGUUUUUCAGAAGAGGCACGGUGGAGGGCAGGUAUUGAAUCUGUGAUGCAGAUGUUUUGCCAAGAAAGUGGACUAAAGAGAGUCCUCGAAGCGUGGAUACCUUAUAACUAUAACAUGUUUUCCAAGACAAAUCGUUCUAAUAGCUAGAUAGCAUGUUUGAGAUUUUCACCCAUUUGGAUUGGUCUGGUGGUAUUGGCUUGGGACCUAGGAGUGUGCUCCUCCUUAAGGUCUCAGGUUCGAUUCUCUCUGGUGCCAAUUAAGUUAAGGUGGACUAAUUUAGCUUCUUCAAAAAAAAAAAAUUAUUUAUUUUCUAUAAUUUGACUAUAUUUUGUUCUAUAAUUUGUUUCGUGUAUUAUACUUUUAGAGGAUUUA
Molecule: RNA transcript, 1773 nt
Organism: Trifolium pratense (red clover)
Lineage: Eukaryota; Viridiplantae; Streptophyta; Magnoliopsida; Fabales; Fabaceae
Gene name: putative F-box/FBD/LRR-repeat protein At1g78760
Exons: 5
Source: RefSeq, a predicted model, not a curated record